UGUGUCAGCAGCCGCGGUAAAACGUAGGAGGCGAGCGUUAUCCGGAUUUACUGGGUGUAAAGCGCGUGCAGGCGGUUUGUUAAGUUGGAUGUGAAAGCUCCCGGCUCAACUGGGAGAGGUCGUUCAAGACUGGCAAACUGGAGAGCAGUAGGGGAAGGUGGAAUUCCGGGUGUAGUGGUGAAAUGCGUAGAUAUCCGGAGGAACACCAGUGGCGAAGGCGGCCUUCUGGACUGCAUCUGACGCUCAGACGCGAAAGCUAGGGGAGCAAACGGGAUUAGAGACCCCGGUAGUCCUAGCCGUAAACGAUGUGAACUUGGCGCCGGUUGGGUAAAACCGAUCGGUGCCGGAGCAAACGCGAUAAGUUCACCACCUGGGGACUACGGCCGCAAGGUUAAAACUCAAAGGAAUUGACGGGGGCCCGCACAAGC
This 428-nucleotide ribosomal RNA is filed under the name uncultured bacterium. RNAcentral's name for it is "bacterial SSU rRNA". It matches the Rfam family "Bacterial small subunit ribosomal RNA", at positions 504 to 930 of the family's 1533-position model. The record is from RNAcentral.